RNAcentral lists this ribosomal RNA (253 nucleotides) under uncultured bacterium. RNAcentral's name for it is "partial 16S ribosomal RNA". It matches the Rfam family "Bacterial small subunit ribosomal RNA", at positions 524 to 776 of the family's 1533-position model. The record is from RNAcentral.
UACAGAGGGUGCGAGCGUUAAUCGGAAUUACUGGGCGUAAAGCGUGCGUAGACGGCUAUCUAAGUCGGGUGUGAAAGCCCCGGGCUUAACCUGGGAACUGCGUUUGAAACUGGGAGACUUGAGUGUGGCAGAGGGGGGUGGAAUUCCACGUGUAGCAGUGAAAUGCGUAGAUAUGUGGAGGAACACCGAUGGCGAAGGCAGCCCCCUGGGUUAACACUGACGCUCAUGCACGAAAGCGUGGGGAGCAAACAGG